CGCAAGCCUGACGGAGCAACGCCGCGUGAGGGAUGAAGGCCUCUGGGCUGUAAACCUCUUUUCUCAAGGAAGAAGACAUGACGGUACUUGAGGAAUAAGCCACGGCUAAUUCCGUGCCAGCAGCCGCGGUAAUACGGGAGUGGCAAGCGUUAUCCGGAAUUAUUGGGCGUAAAGCGUCCGCAGGCGGCCUUGUAAGUCUGUUGUCAAAGCGUGGAGCUUAACUCCAUUUCGGCAAUGGAAACUGUGAGGCUUGAGUGUGGUAGGGGCAGAGGGAAUUCCCGGUGUAGCGGUGAAAUGCGUAGAUAUCGGGAAGAACACCAGUGGCGAAGGCGCUCUGCUGGGCCAUCACUGACGCUCAUGGACGAAAGCCAGGGUGAGCG
This 380-nucleotide ribosomal RNA is filed under the name uncultured Prochlorococcus sp. RNAcentral describes it as "bacterial SSU rRNA". It matches the Rfam family "Bacterial small subunit ribosomal RNA", at positions 376 to 770 of the family's 1533-position model. Lineage: Bacteria; Bacillati; Cyanobacteriota; Cyanophyceae; Synechococcales; Prochlorococcaceae. The record is from RNAcentral.